AACGACGCUGGCGGCGUGCUUAAUACAUGCAAGUCGAACGUGAAGUCUUCAGCAAUGGAGAUGGAAAGUGGCGAACGGGUGAGUAACACGUAAGUAAUCUGCCUCUAAGACUGGGAUAACCUUGCCAACGCGGGGCUAAUACCGGAUGUGGUCCCGAUAAUGCAUAUUGUCGGGAUUAAAGGAGCGAUCCGCUUAGAGAUGAGCUUGCGGCCCAUUAGCUAGUUGGUGCGGGUAAUGGCCCACCAAGGCUGCGAUGGGUAGCCGGCCUGAGAGGGUGAUCGGCCACAUUGGGACUGAGAUACGGCCCAGACUCCUACGGGAGGCAGCAGUAGGGAAUUUUGCGCAAUGGGCGAAAGCCUGACGCAGCAACGCCGCGUGAGUGAGGAAGGUUUUCGGACCGUAAAGCUCUGUCGAGCGGGAAGAAGUGUAUCAUGGCUAAUAUCCAUGAUAUUUGACGGUACCGCUAGAGGAAGCACCGGCUAACUCCGUG
Molecule: ribosomal RNA, 490 nt
Filed under: uncultured bacterium
Lineage: Bacteria
Description: bacterial SSU rRNA
Rfam family: Bacterial small subunit ribosomal RNA
Source: RNAcentral